This 490-nucleotide ribosomal RNA is filed under the name uncultured Spirochaeta sp. RNAcentral's name for it is "bacterial SSU rRNA". It matches the Rfam family "Bacterial small subunit ribosomal RNA", at positions 889 to 1382 of the family's 1533-position model. The record is from RNAcentral. Lineage: Bacteria; Pseudomonadati; Spirochaetota; Spirochaetia; Spirochaetales; Spirochaetaceae.
CCGCUCAGAAACUUAAAGGAAUUGACGGGGCCCGCACAAGCGGUGGAGCAUGUGGUUUAAUUCGAUGGUACGCGAGGAACCUUACCAGGGCUUGACAUACGUUGGAAGCGCAUCGAAAGGUGCGUGCCGCUUGCGGCCGGCGUACAGGUGCUGCAUGGCUGUCGUCAGCUCGUGCUGUGAAGUGUUGGGUUAAGUCCCGCAACGAGCGCAACCCCUGCUGCCUGUUGCCACCACGAGAGGUGGGGACUCAGGCGGGACCGCCGGUGACAAACCGGAGGAAGUGGGGACGACGUCAAGUCAUCAUGGCCCUUAUGUCCUGGGCUACACACGUGCUACAAUGGCCGGUACAGAGCGCAGCGAGGCCGCGAGGCGGAGCGAAUCGCUUAAAGCCGGUCCCAGUACGGAUUGGAGUCUGCAACCCGACUCCAUGAAGUUGGAAUCGCUAGUAAUCGCGCAUCAGCAUGGCGCGGUGAAUACGUUCCCGGGCCUU